CUACAAAUGAAUUGAGGGGACCCGCACAAGCAGCGGAGCGUGUGGUUUAAUUCGUUGCUACACGAAGAACCUUACCUGGGUUUGACAUAUAGGUUGUAGGGAACUGAAAGGGACCGACCCUUCGGGGAGCCUAUACAGGUGUUGCAUGGCUGUCGUCAGCUCGUGUCGUGAGAUGUUCGGUUAAGUCCGCUAACGAGCGCAACCCUCGUCGUAUGUUAUAUGUGUCAUACGAGACUGCCGGUAAAAGCCGGAGGAAGGUGAGGAUGAUGUCAAGUCAGCAUGACCUUUAUAUCCAGGGCUACACACACGCUACAAUGGUCUGUACAAUGGGUAGCCAAGCCGCGAGGCGGAGCCAAUCCUGAAAGCAGGCCUCAGUUCAGAUUGCAGUCUGCAACUCGACUGCAUGAAGCCGGAGUUGCUAGUAACCGCAGGUCAGCAAUACUGCGGUGAAUACGUUCCCGGGUCUU
RNAcentral lists this ribosomal RNA (467 nucleotides) under uncultured Anaerolineaceae bacterium. RNAcentral's name for it is "bacterial SSU rRNA". It matches the Rfam family "Bacterial small subunit ribosomal RNA", at positions 903 to 1382 of the family's 1533-position model. Lineage: Bacteria; Bacillati; Chloroflexota; Anaerolineae; Anaerolineales; Anaerolineaceae. The record is from RNAcentral.